GACGUUUUGAGCUGGGUGUAAGAUCCAGGUCGGGGAGAAGGAAGAUAGAAUUCCUCGGGAGACAGCCACAUGGUUCACAAAGUCACUGUCAACAGGCUGAGUAACAGAUUCAAACUUUGUGAUUGUGGAAUUGGAAAGUUGAAGAUCUGGAUCCAAGUCAUCUUGAGCUAACUUUGGUCCUUUCCGUGACUAGCAGUAUUCCUUCAUCUGACCUGACAUCCUUUGACCAGCAGGUUAAACUUUUAACAUGUGUUCCUGGCAGACGACUGGUAUCCACAAAUUCAAUAGCCGAGAAUGGCAGCAUUACGUGUCUGAAACCUAAGACAGGCUUCCCCUACUUUGCCUGGGAUUCCCACCAGUGAGAUUGAAAAGAAGUACUUGGCAUUAGCAAAGGCACUUGGAUAAUUUAAACAAACACACUCUUGACGGGAGGAUCAGAACUGAGUUCCCCACCCUGUCUCUUUGCUUACUGGGAACUUUCCUGCCAGCAUUUCAGAAGAGUCGAGAACAGGCCUACGUGAAUGCUCGCAUGUCCAUGCAAUCCUGUCCGUCUGGGCUCUCUGGCAGUCCUUACAUUCUUCAUCUUUUGACUGGAGCCCUGGUUGCAUCCAUGGGAGGACAGUAGAGGUGUGAACAAGACUACUUAAGAAAUAAGAGACUCUCUGAUGAUGGCACACUUUUUUAGUGUCCUAAGACUGUAAUUCUUCAGCGGCAAUUUUAAAAGCUCCCCAACCUGCAUCUUUAGA
Molecule: small RNA, 746 nt
Filed under: Rattus norvegicus (Norway rat)
Lineage: Eukaryota; Metazoa; Chordata; Mammalia; Rodentia; Muridae
Description: uncharacterized LOC102553369
Source: RNAcentral